Molecule: non-coding RNA, 105 nt
Filed under: Pontibacter korlensis
Lineage: Bacteria; Pseudomonadati; Bacteroidota; Cytophagia; Cytophagales; Hymenobacteraceae
Description: SAM-I sequence
Rfam family: SAM riboswitch aptamer (S box leader)
About the family: The SAM riboswitch is found upstream of a number of genes which code for proteins involved in methionine or cysteine biosynthesis in Gram-positive bacteria. The SAM riboswitch acts at the level of transcription termination control.
Source: RNAcentral
CUCUUAUCAAGAAAGACUGAGGGAUAGGGCCCGAUGACGUCUUAGCAACCAUGUAUAAAGCUUGGUGCUAACUCCCUCCUGGUGCAUUGCCAGGGAAGAUAAGAU